CUGCAUUGUUGUCUCAUAUUAGGUGCAUAAUUUUCUUACAUUGCAGAGAGACAGAAUCGUGCUUCUGUCGUGGUGAAGGCUACUGGGGAAAGCUCGGAGUCUUCGAACUCCCUUAGUAUUGUAAAAUCUGUUCAGAAUGUCUGGGAUAACUCGGAAGAUCGGCCAGGUCUUGUUGGUUUGGGGUUUGCAGCUAUAGUUGCAUUUUGGGCAUCAUCGAAUCUGAUUACAGUAAUUUCUGGAUCUCUCUCUUCUUUACGUUGUUAACAGGAAAUGAUUUACUCAAAUAAAACAAGAGUCGUUGCAACUGUAGAUAGGAUCGAUCUUAUAUGUACUAAUACCGACUAGAAUCAUCUGGUUUCUUCACUGACCCAUUUUUCAGAUACCUUGGGGUGGUGUUGAGAAAUCAACUUCAAA
Prunus avium (sweet cherry) is the source of this 414-nucleotide non-coding RNA. The record is from RefSeq and is a predicted model, not a curated record. Lineage: Eukaryota; Viridiplantae; Streptophyta; Magnoliopsida; Rosales; Rosaceae.